RNAcentral lists this unclassified non-coding RNA (906 nucleotides) under Hevea brasiliensis (rubber tree). Lineage: Eukaryota; Viridiplantae; Streptophyta; Magnoliopsida; Malpighiales; Euphorbiaceae. The record is from RNAcentral.
GAACAGUGAGGCACUGCAGAAUCUGCAAAUAUAAGAUACGAGCUGCUUAGCAUGAUCUUUAAAUGAGCGAAGAAACUAAUUAUUAAAAACCAGAUUGUCAAACAGAGCUUUGGAUCGCUGAUAGCACAUGCAGAGAUAAAACACAAUUGCCAGUCCUAAAUCAAGUGAGAGAACAACUCCAAUUUGAAGGGGUUCGGGAGAGUAUAUUAGACCCCUCCAUAGACUCCACAAAGUGGGAAUCCUCAUUCACUAGGACAUGCAUGUAAGACAUAGCAAGCUUUUGAGACACUAAGCUGCGGUAGUUUCUCAUGAAUAAUAAUUAAGCAAACAUAAACUCAUAAAUUUCACAAGAAUAUCACCAUAUUGCUCUGUUAUGAACAAGACAUACUCAAAAUGAACACAAAUAGCAUAGGUUUCUAGAGAGGUGCCCUUGUGGAUCUAAUACAUUGUGUGCAAAUAAGAAAUAAUUGGCUACUCAAUUUUAGAUGAAGCAUUCAGAUCUUUACAGUAAAAGAUAACAAAAUUUUUUAGGAUAUGAGGAUGUCUUCAAGCAAGGUUGAAUGUGAACUUUCCAUACGUCAAAACAGAUGCUGUUAGAUACUAGCAGAGCACAUAUCAAGUUGUUCUUUCUUGUGACAAAUAUACAAAGAAUAACAGGCAAUCGAAUAAACGUUCGUAAUUUGUACUAUAAAAGGACGAAUUUUCCUCCCAGUAUUUCAAUAUUGAUCAUUUAACUUACUGGAAAGAAUCGAUAAUGGGUCUAUUUUUGAGUAAAACAAAUGUUCGCAAAAAAUAAUCCUGCUUCCUCGAACAUUAGUCAAGGUCUCGAAGGGGAAAAUAUUAGCAUAUUCAAGCAUCAGCAAAAAAAAAAUGUGCAGAUUGAUUUGGAAUAAGCAUACAACUCAA